RNAcentral lists this transfer RNA (71 nucleotides) under Aiolopus thalassinus. RNAcentral describes it as "tRNA-Val". The record is from RNAcentral. Lineage: Eukaryota; Metazoa; Arthropoda; Insecta; Orthoptera; Acrididae.
CAAAACAAUACCUUUUAGUAAGGUUUAUCAUUUACGCUGAUAUUAUUUCUGUGCAAUUCAGGAUGUUUUGA